GACGAACCGUGCGAACGUUGUUCGGAAUCACUGGGCUUAAAGGGCGCGUAGGCGGGCCUUCAAGUCCGGGGUGAAAGCCUCCCGCUUAACGGGAGAAGAGCCUCGGAGACUGAGGGCCUCGAGGAGGGUAGGGGCGUGCGGAACUAUGGGUGGAGCGGUGAAAUGCAUUGAUAUCCAUAGGAACUCCGGUGGCGAAGGCGGCACGCUGGACCCUUUCUGACGCUGAGGCGCGAAAGCCAGGGGAGCAAACGGG
RNAcentral lists this ribosomal RNA (253 nucleotides) under uncultured bacterium. Its description in RNAcentral is "partial 16S ribosomal RNA". It matches the Rfam family "Bacterial small subunit ribosomal RNA", at positions 524 to 776 of the family's 1533-position model. The record is from RNAcentral.